Molecule: ribosomal RNA, 406 nt
Filed under: uncultured bacterium
Lineage: Bacteria
Description: partial 16S ribosomal RNA
Rfam family: Bacterial small subunit ribosomal RNA
Source: RNAcentral
GAUGAACGCUAGCUACAGGCCUAACACAUGCAAGUCGAGGGACCGGCGCACGGGUGCGUGACACGUACCCAACCUGCCCUUUACCCGGGGAUAGCCUUUCGACAGAAAGAUUAAUACCCGAUAUAAUGGAUGGGGAUGCGUUAGUUUAGGGUGGUGGUGAGGUAACGGCUCACCAAGCUUUCGAUGGAUAGGGGUUAGGAGAGGAAGGACCACUACAUUGGAGCGGAGGCCCGGACCAAACUGGUACGGGGCACAGGGGUGAGGAAUAUUAGGCACUAAGCGGUGACCUGAACCAGCCAAGUAGCGUGAAGAAUGAAGGGUUAGGAGUCGUAAACUUCUUGUAUAUAAGAAUAUGUAUUAUAUGAAUAAGGAUCGGCUAACUCCGUGCCAGCAGCCGCGGUAAUUC